GGACACAGUGAGACCAGGAACCAGGUCCUCAGCAGCAACCAGCCACACCAGACUUCCAGGACAUGGAAGAAUCAUGUCUAUGAUUUAGGCCCCUCCAGCCUGUGGUGUUUCUGUUAUGAUAACUCAAGCCCAACCUGAUUCCGGUCCCCAAGGAGCAGCUUCCUGGUGGAGGCGAGUCACCAUCUGAACUUGGAGACGCUGGGAAGACAGGAUGGGCUGGGAGGAGGUGAACAGGACACACACCAGGUGGCAGAAAUGUCAAGGGCAAAGAUGCAUGGAGUUCAACCCAUUGUAUUUUAGGUGGACAUGGUUCCCAUAUGACAAUCCUGACUUCAGAUACCAGCUGUUGUGUGAUCUUAGUUCCUUGACCAGAGAUUGAACCUGUGCCCCCUGCAGUGGAAGUGCAGAGUCCUAACCACUGAACCAUCAGGGAAGUUCCCCCAGAGUUUCUUCUUAGGGUAAUGAAAAUGUUCUAGAAUUGAUCGUGGCCAUGGUUGCAUACAUCUGUGAAUAUACUAAAACCACUGAAUCAUACACUUUAAGGGGUGAGUCAUAUGAGGUGUGAAUUACAUCUCAAUAAAGCUAUUAGAAUAAAACAACAUGGCUGCAAUUCUAGGAUUUCUUGGCAGACCCAUU
This is a long non-coding RNA of Bos taurus (domestic cattle), 636 nucleotides long. The record is from Ensembl. Lineage: Eukaryota; Metazoa; Chordata; Mammalia; Artiodactyla; Bovidae.